UCACUUUUGGGACGUGGAUGCACGAAAAUAAAAUUACAAAAAAUGUGGUCAUCGUCAUGUCAACUUUGGUGUCGCCAGCUUUUGCAUGCUCUCCACUCUGUGCAGUUUGGCGGAUUUAGGGCCUGAGCCAGCCAUCGUAACAGCAAAGUUUUGUUUGUGCUGCUUGUGCUGGACCUCCAGUCGUAUGAUUUGACUGAUGACCUCCUGUCAUCAGCAACAAUCACAGCAUCAUAACUCAGAUAAACAGCAUCAUCCGUUUAAUUGGGGAAACUUCCAGUGUCGACCGAGUUGAGGAUAUCUUCAAUUCCCCUUUCUUUAAAGGUCCUCGUGUACGCCCAUGCGAGUGUGGGUGUAUUCACGAGGACUCCCUUUUACCUAUCCCUCUUCUGCUGGAUUCAACUUGUCUGUGGAUGGAGCACCUUUGGAUGCCUGGCUGUAUUUCCCAGGCGCAAAGGCAAAUUUAAAGUGGAAAAUAGAUGGGUACUGCAGGCAAACCCAAAAGGGCUGGCGAUUUGCUUUGCGUUUACCUCUAGAGACGGAAACAAGGAAGUACAACCAUCCAGGAUGAAUUUGGCAUCUUC
Molecule: long non-coding RNA, 581 nt
Organism: Daphnia pulex (common water flea)
Lineage: Eukaryota; Metazoa; Arthropoda; Branchiopoda; Diplostraca; Daphniidae
Exons: 4
Source: RefSeq, a predicted model, not a curated record